This 560-nucleotide ribosomal RNA is filed under the name uncultured bacterium. Its description in RNAcentral is "partial 16S ribosomal RNA". It matches the Rfam family "Bacterial small subunit ribosomal RNA", at positions 355 to 907 of the family's 1533-position model. The record is from RNAcentral.
UGGGGAAUAUUGCACAAUGGGCGCAAGCCUGAUGCAGCCAUGCCGCGUGUGUGAAGAAGGCCUUCGGGUUGUAAAGCACUUUUGUCCGGAAAGAAAUCCUUGGCUCUAAUACAGUCGGGGAUGACGGUACCGGAAGAAUAAGCACCGGCUAACUACGUGCCAGCAGCCGCGGUAAUACGUAGGGUGCAAGCGUUAAUCGGAAUUACUGGGCGUAAAGCGUGCGCAGGCGGUUUGCUAAGACCGAUGUGAAAUCCCCGGGCUCAACCUGGGAACUGCAUUGGUGACUGGCAGGCUAGAGUAUGGCAGAGGGGGGUAGAAUUCCACGUGUAGCAGUGAAAUGCGUAGAGAUGUGGAGGAAUACCGAUGGCGAAGGCAGCCCCCUGGGCCAAUACUGACGCUCAUGCACGAAAGCGUGGGGAGCAAACAGGAUUAGAUACCCUGGUAGUCCACGCCCUAAACGAUGUCAACUAGUUGUUGGGGAUUCAUUUUCCUUAGUAACGUAGCUAACGCGUGAAGUUGACCGCCUGGGGAGUACGGUCGCAAGAUUAAAAGCUUAAAUG